Molecule: ribosomal RNA, 499 nt
Filed under: uncultured Desulfovibrio sp.
Lineage: Bacteria; Pseudomonadati; Thermodesulfobacteriota; Desulfovibrionia; Desulfovibrionales; Desulfovibrionaceae
Description: bacterial SSU rRNA
Rfam family: Bacterial small subunit ribosomal RNA
Source: RNAcentral
CGCCUCGUGAGGGAUGAAGGUCUUCGGAUCGUAAACCUCUGUCAAGAGGGAAGAAACCCUUGGAUUCGAAUAGGGUCCUUGGCUGACGGUACCUCAAAAGGAAGCACCGGCUAACUCCGUGCCAGCAGCCGCGGUAAUACGGAGGGUGCAAGCGUUAAUCGGAAUCACUGGGCGUAAAGCGCUCGUAGGCGGUUUGGUCAGUCAGAUGUGAAAGCCCUCGGCUUAACCGGGGAACUGCAUUUGAUACUGCCAGACUUGAGUGUCGGANAGGGUGGCGGAAUUCCGGGUGUAGGAGUGAAAUCCGUAGAUAUCCGGAGGAACACCAGUGGCGAAGGCGGCCACCUGGACGACAACUGACGCUGAGGAGCGAAAGCGUGGGGAGCAAACAGGAUUGAUACCCUGGUAGUCCACGCGGUAAACGAUGGAUGCUGGGUGUCGGGGGUUUACCUUCGGUGCCGCAGUUAACGCGUUAAGCAUCCCGCCUGGGGAGUACGGUCGC